AUGAAAGCAAGCAGAGGAAGUGGGCAUGUGAGGGAGGACUAUCAUUUACAAUACCAUAACUAAAAGUGUACAGCAUUUCUGUCCAUGUGGCCUCACACACGAAGUCAGUGAAAGGAAUGCUGUCCAUCUGACGAGAAAGCAGCGGACAGUACAGCAGACAAAGAUGUUUCACCUGGACAUGAAGGACCACUUGGUGUCACAGCUUUGGUUCAGCCAUCUGCAGCAGAGUCCCAGUCCACUGUGUCAAACAAGUUGGAAAUUACAGCUACAGCUGAUUCAGUAACCUCUGGAUCCACUCAGGACUUUUUCUCUCACUUAGACAUAAUUUACUCUUCAUUGAAGGCUUAUAUUUUAUCUUGCAGAGUUUCUAUGUGAUCUAUAAUUACCUUGUUUUAUUUUGCUCAUUAUAUUAUGCAUAUAAAUAACUAUAAAUCAUUUUCACCAUAUAUAAUUGCUGCUGUUGCACCUGAAUUUCCUUUAGUGAAGUCUUAUCUUAACUAGUAUACAUGAUCAUACAGCCUAUGGACUUGCCCAGUUUCUAUGAUCAAGUGUUGUGCUAUACCCAGUCUAUGGCUAUACCUUAUUUGCUUCUAGUGGUGGGUGCUGCUGAAAUUAGAAAGAUAUUAAGGCUAAUUUGGCUUUUAGUUAUGAUUAUGUAGUUUGUCAUUUGUUCUGCUGUCUUUGGAAGAAUUUUCUAAUUUGUAGAGGCAGCAAAAUAAAAGUGCACAUUUA
Long non-coding RNA from Micropterus salmoides (largemouth bass), 732 nucleotides. RefSeq lists it as uncharacterized. The transcript has 2 exons. The record is from RefSeq and is a predicted model, not a curated record. NCBI's taxonomy places the organism in Eukaryota, Metazoa, Chordata, Actinopteri, Centrarchiformes, Centrarchidae.